RNAcentral lists this ribosomal RNA (511 nucleotides) under uncultured archaeon. RNAcentral describes it as "bacterial SSU rRNA". It matches the Rfam family "Archaeal small subunit ribosomal RNA", at positions 325 to 839 of the family's 1478-position model. The record is from RNAcentral.
ACGGGGUGCAGCAGGCGCGAAAACUGCACAAUGUGGGGAACCACGAUGCGGGGAUUCCAAGUGCCUAUGCUUUGCAUAGGCUGUUCUAGUACCUAAAAAGUACCUGAAGUAAGGGCCGGGUAAGACGGGUGCCAGCCGCCGCGGUAAUACCCGCGGCCCGAGUGGUGGUCGCUAUUAUUGAGCCUAAAGCGUUCGUAGCCGGCCUAGUAAAUCCUUGGGUAAAUCGGGCAGCUUAACUGUCCGAAGUCUGAGGAGACUGCUGGGCUUGGGACCGGAGGAAGUCGGAGGUACUCCAAGGGUAGGGGUGAAAUCCUGUAAUCCUUGGGGGACCACCAGUGGCGAAGGCGUCCGACUAAGACGGAUCCGACGGUGAGGGACGAAGCCCUGGGGCGCAAACGGGAUUAGAUACCCCGGUAGUCCAGGGUGUAAACGCUGCAGGCUUGGUGUUGGGGACCCUGCGAGGGUGCCCAGUGCCGUAGAGAAGUUGUUAAGCCUGCCGCUUGGGAGUACG